Molecule: long non-coding RNA, 4462 nt
Filed under: Salmo salar (Atlantic salmon)
Lineage: Eukaryota; Metazoa; Chordata; Actinopteri; Salmoniformes; Salmonidae
Description: lncRNA (ENSSSAG00000099055.1)
Source: RNAcentral
GUACAAUGAUUACACUAUACUUGCUUGUUUUGUUACAUAAACUGAAUUUAAGCGAACUAUUAGAAUUUUAGCAACCAGAAAAUGGCGGAGCUAUUUCGGCAUAUUGCAUCUUUAAGUGUAUGGUCCAUUUUAUCAUUAAUAGCAAUGAGUGACUCAGACAACUGCAAAAUUUCACUUUCAACAAGUGGAAAAGGCUGUUCAAAUGCAAUGGCAGUUCGCGUUUUCUUCACAAUGGUGUUCGGGAGUCUUUGUUUUUGAUAUCCCUUAACAAAAUAGUGUGUUGCUCAGUGUCUUUCUACACGGGCUGGUGCCCCAUGUCUUUUUCAGCACAGAGGCUGGUUAACUAGGUUUUAGGAGGUUAUUGGGUCACUCGGCAAUGUUACAGGUUUAAAGGCACAUAAGCAAGUAGGGCCUAGAAUAAGCACAUAGGUUUCUCUAGAGGCCAAAUAGUACUGUAAUAGCACUGUGUUGGCUAGUCUUUCACUUGGAAACGUUUGACAUAAGGGGACCCGCCUCUGUUCACUAAGUGGGUCCAGGACCUGAACUGUUCAUACCUAGGGGGAGAACCAGCAGUCUGAGAAGCAGGAAUCUGUCUACACUGUCACGUCUGCUCCCGCUCUUCCCUUCCUCUGGCGAGAUUACCCUGCAUCACGCGCUCCUGCCAUCUAUCAUGCACACCUGCCUUCCCUCGUCACUUGCAUCAGCAUUAUUGGACUCACCUGGACUCACUUAUCUCCUGUUAAUUUCCUCCCCUAUAAUUGUCUGUUCCCUAGCUCUAUUCCUUGCUGCGUCGUUGUAUUGUUUUUGUCUCUUGGAUUUGUUUUUGACGCUGUCUAUGUCAGUCAUUUACUAAAUGUUUAAUCCCAGUACCUGCUUCGUCCCUCCAGCGUCAUUCCGCAUGACAUACACAUGUGUGAUGAAAACCCUGUAUGACUGCUGCAUUGCUGCAGCUACAUAGAGAAGGUCUGAUGUGGAGAGUCAACUGGAAGAAGCAACUCAUUCUUCAGGAGAUAGAAAUCAUCCUGACCAGUUCACAAAGACCCCAGAGGUUCCUCCGGUGUCAGAGAAAGUGCUAGAAGAGGACAGGUCUGAGAACCAGGACAGAGGAGACACACCUUAACUGGACCAGAACCUCCAGAGGACAAACUACCAUGACCCGCAGAGCGAACAAGAGGAAGAAGAAAUACUAGACCUGCACAUGAAGCCCAACAAGGAGAGACACUAGGACCUGUACACAGUAGACCACAAAUACAAGAACCAGACAAAUCAACACAUGCAGGAGUCCAGCCAGGAGAUUCAGUCAGGGGAACCAGCCAGGGGAGUAAAGAGAGAAUAAUUAUGUGGAAGAAUAAGAGGAAGUAAUAAAGAGACAGACGAGGAGAAAUGGGAACAAAAUACAGAGGGGGACAUGAACGAGAGAUGAAGGACAGGAGUAGAAGGAAUCAGACACAGAGAAUGAAGGAGUUGAUACCAACCAAACAUCCACCCAGAAUGAUGAGAUGGAUGAGACGCAUAUAAUAAACCCCAAUGAGCAGCACAUUGCCCAGACUACACUACAGAGACAGUCCUGUGAAUCACCAGCAUCCCCAGAUAGCAAAGAAAAAAUAAAGGACAUGAGUCACCCAUCCCAGACCCCAAUGAGCAGCACAUUACCCAUAAUACACCACAGAGGCUGUCCAGUGACUCCGCAGAAGACCCAGAAAGAAUUGAUGACACACCCGCCCCAGACCCCAAGGAGCAGCACAUUAUCCACAGUCCGCUACAGGCGCAGUCCAGUGACUCCCUUUGAUGACCGCCAAGAGAAGGGGCACAGAGAAAGUAAAAAUAAAUGCAUCCUUCAGUAAUUUGCAAUUCACUUGUAUUGAAGAUUAUCCACAAACUGUAACACUUCUUUGUACCAGUAGGGGUCAGUGUUCUUUAGCGUUUCCAUCUACUACUUCCUUUGCAGGGUCCAUUUUUUUAUUUCAGUGUGGUAAGACUGUUUUUGUGACAGUUGUUGUGAAUACAUACAUUACAACAAAAAUAUACAAAUAUGUAUGUUUGUGAUGGUGAUCCUGUUUUGAGCUGUGGCAAAUUUCUUUAUAAACCAAUGGCAAAUUUGACUGUUUAUUUUAGAGAGGUUUUCCACAGCUUAUUACACUUACAUAUAGUAAUUUAGCAGACGCUCUUAUCCAGAGAGACUUACUUUCGACACAUGUACUUAUUGUAAGUGAAUCAACUAUGCAUCAGUCAUCGCAAGUAAGACACAAUCAGAUGAACAACAGCUGCUCAAUGAUUAUGACCCCUUGAAGAUACAGCCAGUUCAUUGUUGGUUCACUAAUUGAUUUUGCCUUGCAGAUAAUGCAUUUUUGUUUGAGUUUCAUACCAAAUACUCAUACUGACACAGUACUUUCUUAGUCUAGUAUUUACUUAGCAUGAUAAUUCACCUUCCUAAUCCACAGAUUGGCUCCUACAAACAAUACACAAAGACAAACUGCAUCUCAGUAGCUAAUGAAAAGAAUACUCAGCGCACAAAAAAGAACAAGAGAACAAGCUAAUCCUAAACCAAAUGCCAGGCUGGUCUAGAUUUCCAAAGGGAAUAGGUAUCUUUAUCGGUCAGACCUGGUUAGUUUAACCCCAGAGUCAGAGAGGGGCCUCUGAUCUGCUACCAGCUGACCUGUGGGUCCAGAGCACCAGAGGAGAAUGAACACUAUCGGUUUCUGUGGUCACAACAAAUACCAGGGGAAUAUUAAUAUAUUGAAUUAUUCUGGAGGCGCGGAGGUGGGCGGGUAUGGGAAUAAUAAUGCAGUUCCUCAGAGAUGGUGUUGAUGUCUUGCUGGCAGUAGGAGAGCUCUGGUCCUGUUCUCCUUCUACUGGCUGGGAUUGUAGGUUCAACUCCCUAUGCCUCCCUUUCUGCAUCCAACCUCUUACUUUAACACUCAUUGUUUCAGGGUUACAUUUACAUUUACAUUUUAGUCAUUUAGCAGACGCUCUUAUCCAGAGCGACUUACAGUAGUGAAUGCAUACAUUUCAUACAUUUUCUUCACAUCAUGGAGGUACACAUCUUUUGCAUUUCAGUAGUUCUGUCAAAGUUGUUUGGAGUUUUUCCAGUUUAUAGAGCUCACCAGCUUGUAGUCCUAAAAACCGAAAAUGAGUUACCUCUGGUUCGUUCAGCCCUUCCUAUGGGAAAAAUGAGUUACCUCUGGUUCGUUCAACCCUUCCUAUGGGAAAAAUGAGUUAUUUUUAUAUUUUUCAGUUGUAACAGUCAGGGUUGAUGCCUGACUGUUACCACUGGCAUUAACAGUCGUUGAUUCUCAUAAAUACGACCCCCUGGGACAAAGGACCGAGCGAUCCAUGAGGUCACAAUAUACUGACAUGAUUUUCUAGUCUAAAAAGUAACAUUUUUGAAAAAUCACAUUCAAGACAUAACAGCAGUGUGGUCAACAAAACCCAUUUCUGCCUUUUCUAUGUGAGUGCCCAUUUCCUGUUGGAGCCUAAUGUUCUCCUAGACAGGGGCCCAAUUUAAGUUUACACUUUAGAUUGUUUGGGUCUAGUUUGGCUCCUCUUCUACUUGAAAGAGACAGAGAGAGUGUGAGAGAGAGAGAGAGAGAGAGAGAGAGACACCCUUGAUUAGCAUGCUGGGUUGUUUAAAUUGCCUCCUGGAGUGCCGAGGUAGAAUCGAACAAUAUCCUCUGGCUUUAGACUCCAUAGCCCAAUGGCCCCAUAGCUUGUCAUUUAUUUGAAUGCAUCAGGAUUAAGAUAGAGAGGCCUACCUGGCACCACUCCACUGGGGAAGCUGGCUCGCUGGCUGCUGAGCCCAAGGCGGACAGAUCCUAGUGGCUUAUGAUGAAUCAAUUCAUAUCAGUUCAAUAAAAGUGGCUGGAUGAAUGCCUCUUUUUGUGCCACGGUUUAUAGUGAUAGAACAAACUCUGUGCCCAUGGUCAUUAUGUGAAUGUAUAAUUUAGCAUGGCCAAGACACCAUAAUUCAAUAUUAAAUGAGACUCCUUUGCAAUUAUUGUCUCGGACCUCAAUUCAGGCCUGGUUUAUCUCCAGAUCCCCUUUUAAUUGGAAUACCAGGAGUGACUAAGAGGUAAUUGUUCAGCGGAAUUGUUAUCACUUCGUAUUGACUGCGUCUGUCUUCCAGGAUGCUGUGGAGGUUUAUUACUGUACCAGGCCUAAUCUGUAAACUCCAUUCUGCUGCUAACAUUUGGUCAUCAUGCAACAUUUAAGAGGGCCCAAGGCACACACACUUAAGUAUCCAGGGCAAUAAGAAAUAUUGUGUACUUUCCUGUCCACCAGGAGAGGAGAGGCACAGACAGUGUUGGUGUUAUUUGCGAUUCUAUGCUUUUGCUUUUGCUUUUACAGGUUAGGCCACUUCCUUUAGGAUGCAUUAAUAAAAUCCUUGAAAACCGUUUUGCUUCUUUCACAAAGCGUUUCUUCAUAGAAUGUCAUUUUUCUGAACCUUUCACACUGUCAUUGAAGG